Molecule: ribosomal RNA, 223 nt
Filed under: uncultured bacterium
Lineage: Bacteria
Description: partial 16S ribosomal RNA
Rfam family: Bacterial small subunit ribosomal RNA
Source: RNAcentral
UGGGUAACCUGCCCUCAGCUCUGGGAUAACUCCAAGAAAUUGGGGCUAAUACCGGAUAUGACCGCUGACCGCAUGGUCUGGUGGUGGAAAGAUUUUAUCGGCUGGGGACGGCCCGCGGCCUAUCAGCUUGUUGGUGGGUAGUGGCCUACCAAGGCGACGACGGGUANCUGGUCUGAGAGGAUGGCCAGCCANAGUUGGGACUGGAGACACGGCCCAGACUCCG